RNAcentral lists this ribosomal RNA (689 nucleotides) under uncultured bacterium. RNAcentral describes it as "bacterial SSU rRNA". It matches the Rfam family "Bacterial small subunit ribosomal RNA", at positions 39 to 715 of the family's 1533-position model. The record is from RNAcentral.
GCUACAGGCUUAACACAUGCAAGUCGAGGGGAAACGAUAGAGAAAGCUUGCUUUUUCUAGGCGUCGACCGGCGCACGGGUGAGUAACGCGUAUCCAACCUGCCCAUCACUUGGGGAUAACCUUGCGAAAGUAAGACUAAUACCCAAUGAUAUCUCUAGAAGACAUCUGAAGGAGAUUAAAGAUUUAUCGGUGAUGGAUGGGGAUGCGUCUGAUUAGCUUGUUGGCGGGGUAACGGCCCACCAAGGCGACGAUCAGUAGGGGUUCUGAGAGGAAGGUCCCCCACAUUGGAACUGAGACACGGUCCAAACUCCUACGGGAGGCAGCAGUGAGGAAUAUUGGUCAAUGGGCGAGAGCCUGAACCAGCCAAGUAGCGUGCAGGAUGACGGCCCUAUGGGUUGUAAACUGCUUUUAUAAGGGAAUAAAGUGGGAGUCGUGACUCCUUUUGCAUGUACCUUAUGAAUAAGGACCGGCUAAUUCCGUGCCAGCAGCCGCGGUAAUACGGAAGGUCCGGGCGUUAUCCGGAUUUAUUGGGUUUAAAGGGAGCGUAGGCCGGAGAUUAAGCGUGUUGUGAAAUGUAGACGCUCAACGUCUGCACUGCAGCGCGAACUGGUUUCCUUGAGUACGCACAAAGUGGGCGGAAUUCGUGGUGUAGCGGUGAAAUGCUUAGAUAUCACGAAGAACUCCGAUUG